This 219-nucleotide unclassified non-coding RNA is filed under the name soil metagenome. RNAcentral describes it as "partial contains 5.8S ribosomal RNA, internal transcribed spacer 2, and large subunit ribosomal RNA". The record is from RNAcentral.
AACGCACGAGACCUGCGGACCUGCGGAGGGAUCAUUAGUGAAGAACAUGAACAGGUCUCUUGCUUGCAAAGAAUCUGUUCACCUCACCAUCCAUAACACCUGUGAAUUGUAAGAUGUGGUGGACUAUUAUCAGUCCCCUGUCUGCUCCCAUUUUUAACAUCUAGUGGUAACAAAAGUAGUCUUAUUAUAAUGUAAUAAAACUUUUAACAAUGGAUCUCU